CCUGCAGUCCCCUAGCGCCUGCGCAGUAGACUUCCUCUCCCCGGACGGCCUCCCGCGAGGCCGCGAGCGGAAGUCGCUUUGGGAGGCGGAGCCUGGCUGACAGACGGGAAUACUUGACAUCUUGGGAGAGGCAUCAUGACAAUACUGCAUAGAAGGAAGGCUGGGCUUCGGGCUGGACCGCCUGAGAGCAGAUUGUCCGAGGCACCAGCAGGACGUCAGAUUUCAGGUGGAGGAGACAGAAAGCGGCUUGUGACCUUGCAGGUUUCAAUAGAAGAGCAAACAAGAAGGGCAGAUAAGGAGACGCCAGUGAGAUUCUAUGACCUGUCAUUAGGGAUGGGCUUCCCAGCUAUCAAAUGUUUGCUCACAUAAUAAAAUGGGGGCAGAGCCCUAAAUGUUGU
Choloepus didactylus (southern two-toed sloth) is the source of this 398-nucleotide long non-coding RNA. RefSeq lists it as uncharacterized. The transcript has 3 exons. NCBI's taxonomy places the organism in Eukaryota, Metazoa, Chordata, Mammalia, Pilosa, Megalonychidae. The record is from RefSeq and is a predicted model, not a curated record.